This 700-nucleotide ribosomal RNA is filed under the name uncultured beta proteobacterium. RNAcentral's name for it is "bacterial SSU rRNA". It matches the Rfam family "Bacterial small subunit ribosomal RNA", at positions 81 to 777 of the family's 1533-position model. Lineage: Bacteria; Pseudomonadati; Pseudomonadota; Betaproteobacteria. The record is from RNAcentral.
CGGUCUGGUGGCGAGUGGCGAACGGGUGAGUAACAUAUCGGAACGUAUCCAAUAAUGGGGGAUAACUAAUCGAAAGGUUGGCUAAUACCGCAUACGCCCUACGGGGGAAAGCAGGGGAUCUUCGGACCUUGCGUUAAUGGAGCGGCUGAUAUCUGAUUAGCUAGUUGGUGAGGUAAAGGCUCACCAAGGCGACGAUCAGUAGCUGGUCUGAGAGGACGACCAGCCACACUGGAACUGAGACACGGUCCAGACUCCUACGGGAGGCAGCAGUGGGGAAUUUUGGACAAUGGGCGCAAGCCUGAUCCAGCCAUUCCGCGUGAGUGAAGAAGGCCUUCGGGUUGUAAAGCUCUUUCGCAAGGGAAGAAAACUUACUUUCUAAUAAAGAGUGAGGUUGACGGUACCUUGAUAAGAAGCACCGGCUAACUACGUGCCAGCAGCCGCGGUAAUACGUAGGGUGCGAGCGUUAAUCGGAAUUACUGGGCGUAAAGCGUGCGCAGGCGGCUUUGUAAGUCAGAUGUGAAAUCCCCGAGCUCAACUUGGGAACUGCGUUUGUAACUACAAGGCUAGAAUAUGUCAGGGGGGGGUAGAAUUCCACGUGUAGCAGUGAAAUGCGUAGAGAUGUGGAGGAAUACCAAUGGCGAAGGCAGCCCCCUGGGAUAAUAUUGACGCUCAUGCACGAAAGCGUGGGGAGCAAACAGGA